GACGUAGGAGGCGAGCGUUGUCCGGAUUCAUUGGGCGUAAAGAGCGCGCAGGCGGUCGUUCAAGUCGAGUGUGAAAGCCCCCGGCUCAACUGGGGAGGGUCACUUGAUACUGAUCGACUCGAAGGCAGGAGAGGGAAGCGGAAUUCCCGGUGUAGUGGUGAAAUGCGUAGAUAUCGGGAGGAACACCAGUGGCGAAGGCGGCUUCCUGGCCUGUUCUUGACGCUGAGGCGCGAAAGCUAGGGGAGCAAACGGG
RNAcentral lists this ribosomal RNA (253 nucleotides) under uncultured bacterium. RNAcentral describes it as "partial 16S ribosomal RNA". It matches the Rfam family "Bacterial small subunit ribosomal RNA", at positions 524 to 776 of the family's 1533-position model. The record is from RNAcentral.